This is a non-coding RNA of Lolium perenne, 2299 nucleotides long. The record is from RefSeq and is a predicted model, not a curated record. Lineage: Eukaryota; Viridiplantae; Streptophyta; Magnoliopsida; Poales; Poaceae.
GUCAUCCUCCUCCACGAGCCAACCACUCCACUUUUCCCCUCUAUAUUUUUCCCCACAAGUGCUGCAUCAAACCCUAGUCCUACUCCCCAAUCGGCGCCGCCAACCUCUGUAUUUUUCUUUCCCCUUCCCAAAUCAAACUGGAGGGCAAGUUUCAGACAUUUCAGAAAAAGUUUCAGGAAGCACUGAACACCUUUGCCGCAGCAUCGUCGUCGGCCCAUCGUCUCCGGCCACCUCCGUCUACCUCCGGCCUCCCUGAGGUGUCCAAUCGUUUCAUGGUGAGGUGUUCUUUCUUCCCCGUCUUUUCCCUAUUGCAUCUGAGCUCUUUUCUGCGUCGCCAAUAUCUGACGACAAUUCUCGUCGCCUGUUUUUCUGCAACUCCGCGUCCGCUUCGCUGCUGUUCCUCGUCGCCGUCCGCCGCGCUGCGAGCGGGGAUGGGUCCGUGGUGACCUGCGCUUCGUCCUCGACAUCAUACCCGUUCUGGAGCCGCUCUGGAACGGACAAGGCCGUCCUCAUCUUCUUCCUGGACUCCAACGCGCCUUCGUCUCCAUCUCGGUCGAGCUCUUGUUUACAUCUUUGUCUUCCCCGACGGCCAGCGGCGCUGCCCCGACUGUUCAGCCACCUUCGUCCUGUGCCUGCAUCAACGAACACGUCCACGAUCCCCUGGCAUUUGCUUCUUCCGGAUAGGAUCGCGAAGUGGUGUUGUGAGAUACGACAAGUUCUCUGGAUGUUCCUCGGCAAGUUUUAACAGGCAAGCAUUUUUCCCUAUACUUCUGCCCCUGCAGAAGUCGCUCACCUAUUUUAUUUUGCCUUCUCCCUUAUGCUAUCCUUGAGUUGCGUUCUUGUCACGUGUUCCUUCCACUUGUUACCUCAAGCAGCCUAUAUUGCCUCCACCAAUCACCUACAGCUAUUGUUUGGUUAUCGGGUCUGCCUUGCGAGUUGUAGUGCAUGCUAGUGUUGUUAUAUCUCGUUACCGUUACUGCUAUCUUAUCGGUUAUCUGUUGGAAAUCAUGACACAUGCUACAUGGUUAUAUCUGUUGAGGUAAUCAUGGUUACUUGUUAAUAGUUGUUAGCGGAGGCAUCGGUGGGUCAGCUGAUCGUUUUGUGACGGCUCACUUGUGUUUCCUAAAUAUCUUAGGACCCCGAGUUCUUGUUAUCUGUUCCGAGACUGAGCGCUCUAACCACACGUGGGUAUGUUUCUGGGUCUCCCCUCGACCACUGCCGGAAUCUACAGCUUUGUCCAGUGGCCACAACUAGUUUGCAAUGCUUUACCAUUUGUUGUUUGCGUGCAUGCCAGCCUGUUACUUAUUUACUUUGGGGAGUCCCUGGGUGCCUUGUAUCCCUUGUUUCUGGUAUGCACGUAUAGGUCGCGGAGCCGCUGCGAAGUGGUUUAUCGCCCCAGUGUGUGUUUAAACCACCUAGUACGCUGUCGCAAACAGCUAGGUCCGCUUCGGAGAUACGGCCGGACUUCGAUACGGGUUUAACUUAGUUAGGUGGCUUCCUGGACAUUGUUGUCGUGAAGGAGAGUGCGAGUCGUUAUAUCCACCUGUCGCAAGUGGGUUGAUCGUGCGUGUGGGCACAUUUGGGCACCCCUGCAGGGUUAAAUCUUAUCGAUAAGCCGCGUCCGCGGUUAUGGACGACUUGGAGCUGUAUGACUCGACCAUAGACAACUUACACCUGUUGUUCAUUAAUAAUAACUUGCGUAGUAAGUUAGCACAACUUCAAUAAUAAAUGGUUAAAACUUGACAACCGUGUGAGUACCCUUGUAAGUACUUCCUUGCGAGGGGGGAACGCAUCGGUGUGUUAUGUUUGGAGAGUAUAGAACUGUUAGUUUAUGCGCUCUCUCACCUUCUCUGUUUAGACGAAUGUUGUAGAGUGUCUCUAUAGGUUUUUAGUGCUUGCGCGCUGCCGCUUAACCCCACCAUAUUGCCUUUGACGUUCCUCUUGCGUCCUCUAAGUCCCCUGCGUGCCUCAAGUACAAAGGACGACUGGUUGACGAAUGCUUAUACGUCUUGAAGUCUUGUUAAGUACGAACCGUACUUAUUGCUGCUUCUACGGGAUAUAACCGGGCAGGUAUGAAGAUAUGUUCGAUGAAGCCGACGUUAGCGAGGUUACCCUUCCGGCUUGGCCUGGGCAGGGUUAUGGACGCCAUCGUUUAUCUUCAGGACUCUUAGUCCAAUUUGUAUCUUGUCCGUACUCGGAUGUAUUCGCUCUUCGGUAUGAUUUGGAUCUUUGUAUUGUAUCUAUUUGUAUCUUGACUCGUUGGAGUCGUUGUUGUAAUAUAUGUUUCUUGUGGGCUCUA